CUACGGGGCGCUCCAGCCGAGAAUCUUCCGCAAUGGGCGAAAGCCUGACGGAGCGACGUCGCGUGACUGAUGAAGCACUUCGGUGUGUAAAGGUCUUUUAUGAAGGAGAAAGUCUCGCUUUUAGCGGGAUUGAUGUUACUUCACGAAUAAGGGGUUGCUAAACUCGUGCCAGCAGCAGCGGUAAUACGAGUGCCCCGAGCGUUGUCCGGAAUCACUGGGCGAAAGGGUGUGUAGGUGGUUUUGUUAGUCUUUUGUUAAAGCGCCGCGCUUAACGCGGGAAAUGCAAAAGAAACAGCAAGACUAGAGGGCGCGAGAGGUCUACGGAACCCAUGGUGUAGGGGUGAAAUCCGUUGAUAUCUUGGGGAACACCAAAAGCGAAGGCAGUAGACUGGUGCGUUCCUGACACUGAGACACGAAAGCGUGGGUAGCGAACGGGAUUAGAUACCCGAGUAGUC
Molecule: ribosomal RNA, 455 nt
Filed under: uncultured bacterium
Lineage: Bacteria
Description: partial 16S ribosomal RNA
Rfam family: Bacterial small subunit ribosomal RNA
Source: RNAcentral